GCAGAACGUUCCCUGUACCUCCCUCUCUCCUGACGCCCAUCCCAGCAGUAUGUUCAUGUUUGAUAACUUAAAAAGACAUAAAAGUGGAGAAAAUUGGAGCUUUCACAAGAGACAAGCUUUUUGUUAUUACAGAUAUUUUUUAGCUGCACUUCUGCAGUUCUUUACUUUUUUUUUUGAGCAAAUUCCUUCAUUUGUCAUGUUGAAUGACGCUAGCAGCUGUCAAAAUAUGCUUUAAAUCAGUCAGUUUCCAUUUGCUGUCUGUUGCACUAUUAUUUUAUGAGUUAUGCAGUGAUUUUUAUGAAUUAUUAAUAUUUGGAUCAGAGCUCUAGGCUUGCCGUAAACCUUUUCUAAAUGUGACAAUGAAUCCCACUCUUCUUGCAGUUGUUAUGGCAGUUGAUAGCAGACACUUCAAAAGCUUUGCAGCAGCCAGUUGAGUGCAUAUCUCAGGAGAUGUAGAUUUGCAGGGAAUUUGAGACUUCUUAUUAUCAGGAAAUGUUUUCCUUUGACAGCAUGUUAUGUAGCAGACACGCCUGUGUGAACUGCCAGUGAUGUGGGGGAGCUCAUGUUCAAUCUCCAGAUGAUCUGAAAGGAUCGUGGCAGGCUUUGAUUUUUAACUUUAAAAAUGCUCGUCCUUCCAGAUCAAACUGAAAGGGAAAAACCUUCCCUGAAUCAGCUUUUCCUUUCUGCACAUGUUGCUGCUUUGUUGGUGGGACAGGCUUCCAUGAGAACAAAUGUUCUGGAACAGAUUUGAUCUAUUCCUGUUGCCAUUGAUGCCUAUGUGACCGUAGACCCUGCGUGAAACAAGCAAAGAGCACAACCCUCUGUUUAUUCCUGUGCACAGUAAGUGCUGAACAAAGCAGGAAGAGUGAUCACCUCUAGUUUCUCGAGUCAGCAUUCUGAUUUCGUCAGCAUCUGGUUCAUUACCGAAAGGUUCAGAAUAUUUCCUCUGAUUGCUUUCCUGUUUGGAUUGUUCCAGAGCUCUGAACACUUGAACACCCACCAUGGAUGACUUUGAACGCCGUAGAGAACUCAGGAGGCAAAAGCGUGAGGAAAUGCGCCUUGAAGCAGAGAGGUGAGGUUGCAUGGAAUAUGUGUCGGUGACUUGACUUUUAAUAGUAAUGGCUUUGAGGAUUUUUCUUUUAAAUUCAGAGCAGCUAACUGAAGAGUCCUUGCUAAAAAUAUGUGCCAUAAAAUGCCUUUAUUUAAUAUCAUGGGAGAAGCUGGACUUCAGUGGUGUCUGUUGCCUGUAUCCCUUAGGGCGUUAUAAACUGGCUUCCAGUUAUUUUGCAGAAUGGAUGAACGUGAACAGUGAAGGUGAUCUAUGGUAAUGUGAAACUACUGAUAGGAAAACUCAUGCUCAUGUGAGGGAGUGUUUGCUGUACAGAACAGAUUUUGUGUUUUUAGAUGCUGAGCUAAAAUUGCAGGUUUUCAGUUGAAAGCUGAGACACCCUUGCUGGAUGUGGUAUAGUAUAUCUGUGACUUGUGUGCCACUGCUUUGCAAUUGGUAUUAUGUUUAAUGUGCCUGUCGUUAUUUAUCUACAGCCACUUCAUGUGGGCAAUAUGGGCAGCAUUUGCUAUCAGUUAUUCCAGAUUACAGCUUUACUUUGCAGUUGAGGACAGAACUUGGCAUGGGCGUGAUGAUGUCUAUUUAUGAAAAGAAGCAGCAUGAAAAUAUUAAGAAUGAUAUUUGUUGAACUUCCAUUUCAUAUUUGUACAGAUCCAUCUGCUUUAAUAGGAUUCCCGUGUUUUACAAUGGAGUGAGUGGAGAGAAAGGCCCAAUUUUGUAGUAUUUAUUUUGAUAUAAAGAUUUGAUGUAGUUUAUUAACACCAUAGUGAUUUUUAAAAAAAGGAACUUAGGUUUAAGCAUAUUUUGUUCUCGCUUUUGUGUUUAAUUUUACAUAUGGACUUCUUUUUUUUUCUUGACUUUUCCAUUCACUAACAAAAUUAUGGUGUUUCAGGUUCUGUGUGCUUUAGACAAAAUACUUUUUUUCCUAAGCAUUUUAAAAUGAAAUCAGAAAUCAGCAGAAUGCAAUACCAAAUAUAUUUUGUAUGUCUGCAUGGAGCUUUUUAAUAAAGCCUUGCUUACAUAGUAGAGCUCUCUGAUACUCUGAUAGUAUCUAGGGUGAACUCCCAGACAGAUGAGAUGGAAUAGUGACCUUUCUUUUGAAAGGAAAUGUUGCCCUGCAGAACUGGGCUUCUGAGCUCUCAUCAGGCUAUAAGUAGAAUCCAUGAACUCUGGAAGACAGCAUUGCUGCCUGCAGGUAAAUAAACUUACAUGAGGUAUGGUGACCAAAGGGAAAUGAGGUAGUCUUCCUUUGCAAACCAGCAUCACCUGGUUCGUGACUAAACCCAAAAGAAAGAGAAGCAAAUGUGCCGUGUCAUGAAGUGACCUUCUUAUCCCAGAAGGUUCUUCUCCAGGCCAGUAGUAAUAUAUUUUGGUUGGACAGAGUGGGAGGAAUUUCAGAGCCUGUGCCAGUGCAAGCCUGGCCUGCUGGGUAAGCAGAGCUUCUGCUUCCAGCGGUAUCUGGCUUGCACUUCCUAUUGCAGCAUUUAUUUAGGCAGAAAUGAGAUGAAAUGAAGGAAGGUGUGUGCUGUUGCUGUUGAUGCGGGCAUAAAUGCUGAGCACAUACAUCAACUGGAAAGAAGUCUGCUGUUUAUCCAAGAAGUCAAAAAUGCUCAGAUAUAUUGCAUGCUGGAAAUCUGGUCUGAGGCCCAUUUACACUGAAUGUACAUUCACUGCAUGUACAUUCAUUUUAGCAGAUUAUUAACAGCAUUGCAUAAUGAGAACAUAUGAUAUUCUUAUACUUCUAGUACACUUCUACUCUACAAAAAACAACACGCUUUUAAAAGAAAGGCUAACAGUUUAAGGUUUAUUGCUAAUACAGUUACUCAGAUGCUGUAGAGGAUUCUGGGGCAUGUAGUCUAAAAGGUAUUUUCUACCAUGGAAAAAGUCACAUGAACUUCUCUGUAAAAUCAUUCAAACUCUUACGUGAAUAUGCUGAGACUGCCAAGUGAUUCGGGUGCCAGUGAUGUCAUGUGUCCAUUUUGUGGAUGUGGUGAAAGUUGCAGGGGAUAAUGGGCUUGCCAUUGGAAAUAGAAAUUCAGUAUAUCCAGUGUGUCAGUAAGUCACUGUGUAACACAUAGGCUGGCUGUCUCUGUUCAUACUGAGGGAAACUGAAGCUCUUGGGGGACAAAAGCUGCAGUGAACAGCUCAAUGGUGACCUCUGAAGGACCCAUUCCUGGGAAGCCCUAAGGGUUGAUGUCUCUGUCUCCCUUAAGUGAACAGGAAGGUGGGAGGUUGGGGCAAGAGAGUGAUGGCCUCUGAGGUAGUAUACAGCCCCAACUUAUCCAUCCAUGCAUCCUUCUGGGAGGUGUUUUUUGGCAGUGCUUGAAGUAGCUGUGCUGUUUUUUGUUGUUGUGGUGGUGGUGGUGAUGGUUUUUUUUUUGUGUGUGUGUGGUAACCUUUGUGGAGGAGACAAAAUUGAUGCAAGACUGGCUGGAGGAGUAGGGCUUGGGUCUGCUUCUCUGUUUUCUGCUCAGUCGCUGCAGAAGCACUCCGUGCCCUUUCCCACACAUUUAAAGACUUUUAGCAAUAAAUUGCUGUAUGCUAAAUCUUGCUGCACUCCCUCUGCUGCUGCCAACUUCAAGCAUUCAAGUAUUAUGAGUCAGACCCCUUGAAAGUCACAAGACUGCUUUAAAAAUCUUGAGAUCUUAAAAAUAAUUUAGUCUGGCCUUUUUAUUUUGGGUUUGCCGUAACAAUAACAGGGCCUGAUUCUCAAGUUUGGAUGUCUCUUGGAGCUGGGACUUCACGAAACCCACCCCAGCAGGGGCAAGGUCAGGAAGAAACUGAAUGUUGGUCCUUUCUGCAUAGCAAAUGGAGCUGAGGGCCAGAAGGGUUAAGGCAUUUAUUAGCAAAUGAAUAUGAAACUCUGAGUUAUGCUUGGUGAACUCACAUUUUAGGGAUUUCUGGAUCAUUCUCACCUUUAAAUAUAUGACUACAACAUGUUUGUGUACGUCUGUUCUCCUACCUUAAACCACAGCAAUCUGCUAGCCAGACCUCCCUUGGUUUGAAUGCUUUUGGGUGUUUUAUCAAGUGAAAAUAGUGUGUUCCUGAGGAGCAGCACGGGGGCUGAAAAUGCAGUGUUUGCUCUGAGCAUUGGUAGCUGCGGUGUAGGCUGUAACCUAUUUCCUAGGUCUCCCAGAAACUGUUCAGGCUUCUUUGAGUCAAAUAGUAAAUGCAGAAAUGAAAACACCAUAUCCAACAGCACUAUUUGUAGUUCAGCCAGUCGCAGUAACGCAUUUUACCAUUUCCUGGGUUCAAGGCACAUGGAGGGUUUACCUUCUCAGACUGACAACCACACACUCUGGAGAUGGAGGAGUGUGGAUGGCUUAAAGUCUGUAAGGCCUCAGGGACAGCGUGCUUGAGAGGGGAUGCUUUGACUGCUGCCUCUUCUGCAGGGCCCAGAGGCUGACUGAGGCCUGGUCAGGGUAAAUGUACCAUGAGCUUCCCAAGUGACCAUCAUGCUAGAGCCACUGAUGCCCAGCAAUAUAUGCCUUAUUUCUGGAGAUGCUUAUGGGGAGUCCAGUCCACGUGGGCUCAUGUUAGGCUUUGUUGUUGUUGUUGUUCCCCUUCCUUGCUAGAAAGCUGAUGAAAAUGAUGAUGCUGUUUUGGUGUGUAGCCCUGGUGUUUUGGGUUGGUCUGCUCGGGAGGAUGACGAGGAAGCUACCUUUGUCUUUUAAAGACCAACAGAAUGGUUCAUCCUUGGCAUGUGCUUUCUCUGUUAGUUCAUGCUGUGGCAGCUCAGAUAUAAAUUGCUACCGGUCCAGAAAUCUCAUGUUUCAUUAGCAUUUUACACUCUUCUCAUUUCAAGAUAGCCUACAUCUCCUGGAUUUCCCAUAUACAGGCCUGCCAUACCCACCCAGAAUUAUCCUCCAGCUGGAUUUUCUUGGCUUUUUGUGUUUACCUGUUAUCUCUGGAGAUUUAUCAUCUUAUUUGAAGUAACAGCACAGACCUGUCUAGGGGCAUGUGUCCUAAAAUGGGAGUGGGACCUACCCCCGAUGUGUCAGAUUUACUGCAUGUGCUUGGGCUGCCAGGACUCUGCAAGACUUUCUAGACACAGGCUGGAACAAAGUACGGCACUGUUAACUGCUCCAGUCUGAUAGCAUUUUGUGUGUGGUUUCUACUACACAGCUGUGAGGGCAGGGGAAGUCAGACUCUACCAGCUAUUUGGGUGACCUCUGGAACUGCUUUGUGGUGGAGCCGAGGCUUCAUCCCAGUCCUUGGUGGCAGAGGGAGACCUGCAUAUGGGCCCACACUGGCUGAAGUCACUUGGAAGCUUUCCAUUUAUUUCGCCGGGCUCUGGGCUAGGCCAUACCUGAGUUAUUCCAGCCAGAUGAUUUAUGAGGCAAUCUCAGCGGCAGCCUUGGAGGAGCUGGAUGAACACUUUGCCUCCCAGUCACAGGGUACAUACCGUGCUGCACAGGCAGGGCUGUCACAGAAAUGGUUUGUGCUUACUGAUGAAAAAAAAUCCCAUUUGUAGCUGAAGCGCAAAGGGCUGGCUUCUUUCAGCAAACGCCACCUGCUUUUUGUACCUCUUCCUGGGCAAUAAAAAGAUGUUCCAUGGCCAUUGGGUUUUGUCAUUUUGAUGUUGUAGCUGACACUGGAAGAAUUCAGCCUGGAGUUGGCUAGAGUGUGUGUGUGUGAAUCUGCAGUGAAGUACUGAGGUGAAACACUUCUUUAAGUGGGAGAAGACCUACUCCCGUGGGGCUUUCUUUAACCAUGAUGUUGAGGGCUAUGUAGGAUCUCCUGACAGGAGUUGUAGCAAUCUUAACUAAAGGACUCAUCUCCUUGCAGAUCAGUAAAGUAUUAAUAAGCAUAUGCUAAAAGAGAGAAAUUCAACUGUCAUCUGCAUUUGUGCUGUAUGAAAACUUAAUGAGAAGUGCGUUGCUUAUCUUCUGGACAAGUAAGACAGAAGAUAUUUGUUGCCUCAGUAUCUUAAUACGUUUGUAGUACAAGGAAAGUUCAUCCUUGUGAGGCACAAAAUAGGCAGUUUCUGUGCCUCUUCUGUCUAAGACAGCUUAGGUGAGGUUAAGCAAGUAUUAAUACUAGAUCAACACUGAAUGACCACAAGCAGCUUUUGAAACUGCUUCUUAUUGUUGAAAGAGUUAUCUCUGGGAUAGGGUAUAUACUGAGGACAAUUGUUAAACAUUGUUGGAAGUUUAAAAAUGAGCAUGAAUGGAUACUUUUAAAUUAUCUCCUACUUUCUGGAACAUGAGGGAUUGUCUAAGCCUGGUUGCACUUUCACUGAUGGUUUUCAGAGAUUGUGCUUUGAUUCAGACUUUUGUAACUGAAUGAAGAGAAUGAUCUCAACAAGAGUUUUCAAGGAGUGCAUGCUUAAACAUAUGAGAGGCUGACUUAAUAAUACUUAACAAAGAAUUUCCCAAUGUUCACCAUUUAUUUCAGAACAGUACUUCCAAAAACGUCUUCCAGAGGACUGUGCUUUGUUUAGUUUAGCCUUCUUUUGGUGCUAAAACACAAGCUACAGUGACUUUAUCUCUUCACGUUCUCUUUAUAUAUCCUGAAGUUUCAAGUUCAAGGGUUUCUGCUUGUCUUUCCAUAAAAUACCUUCUGCAAGAGCUGAGACAUGACAUAUUCUGCCCAGAAGUUAAAUAUUUUAAAAAAUGAAUAAAUAAGAUUAGAAGUGCAUGAGGAUUGAGUACAAAUUGAGACAAAAUAGUCCAGCUGUUAAUCUGUCUUCCCAGCUACCUUGCAUUUCAGGACUGACAGAAAAUAUUUGGAUUGUCAAGGUGAAUUUGGCCCUGCUCAUUAUGCUGAUCACUGUUUCUGGAAUUCUUGGAGCUCAUUCUUAACACAGGCAAAAAAACAUAAUUGAUUCAGUGCCUCCGUAAAGCCUGCCCUACUGUUGUCACUCUGAAGUGAGAGUGUAUAUUAGACACAUCUUCGCUAUGGUAGCAUUUCAGAUGCCCUGGAGAUAAUAACCAAACAUACACAAACCUGAGCAGAGCCCUACCAAUUAAUUUUACAGUGACUGUGCAUUUUGCAGGCUGUAUUUUCUUUAAAUGUCCUAAUGGAGAAGCGUUCUAUAAAAGAAGCCUUGUUCUUCCAAAUAGCUAGACAUGAGGAAUAUAGACUUUACUGAGCUAACCUCCCACAGUUCCUAAGCAGACAACAAAAUGGGCUCCUUAAUAUUUCAGAUAUUAAUCCCACAUGUAUGUUAAGAUUAUUCUAUAAUCUCUGUACUACAUCUACCACAGCAGCUAGGUUUUUAGGAGGAGAGCAUCCAGACAGCUGGCAAAAUGCCAUGUCUUUCACCUCUUUCGGCAAAAUGGCAAGUUUGCUUUAGAAGCACCAAAGAGUGUUAGAAAUUCUUGGGUGAAAAUCCCCCCUUCCUAUCCUAUAGCUUGCUAGCCCAACUACCCCCAAAAGCAGUCUAUCCUUCUGUUUUCUACUGUAUUUUUACUAGCUUAGCUAGUCUAAAGCCUUUGAUGAACUGGAUCUUAUUUAAAUGCCUACUAAAUGUGGGCAUUGAGCCAUGGUUUUUGGUGCUCGUUAUUGACUAUUUUAGUAUGCAUAUUUAAAAGGGUACCAGGAGUCAUAGGACAGUAUGGUAUUUCUUCAUGGUUUUAAGAAUUACUGAGGCAUAGGCACUGCACAAAGGAAAACAUGAGGCUGAAGGAAUGUAGCUGGCAUUGUACAUAUAUGUCAAUGGCUGUCCUGUCAUAUUUAUGUGAAAAAUAACAUCUCUUUAGUAUCUUAUGUGCGAAUCGGCAGUAUGUAGUCAAUUAAGCUAAGAUAGACUGUAGUGUUCUUGCAGCUCUGUGCAUCUGCCAUUGUUUCCUCAGACACUGUAAAUCAUAACCAGCAUCAGAAUUUUCUCAUACAAAUGACUUCAGAAAUUCAAAAUGCAAAAAAGCCACGUUAACUCAACAUUGGCCUGAGGUUUGUGAAGGCUCGGAGACUUUGAACUUCCUGUAGCAGCCACAGAUGAGCUGUGUGCUGCCUUUGACUACAAGUACCUCUUUCCCUUGUAGGCAGGCUGGCACCCUAGUGCCCCUGGCAGCAUUUCCUGUCCUUUGGCAAGGAAUCAUAGAAUCACAUGAGUGUAUCAGAAUGCAUCAGCCCUUCAUGGAGGUCACUUUCUACAACAGCUCGGUUAACUUAGUAUGGCAGGGACCGUGGCUACUGUCCUAAAAUAAAUAAAUAAAUAAAUAAAAUAAAAAGCCAUAAUAAAGGACACUCAGUUAUUCGUUCCUGGGUCUACUUUCUGUCAGACUCUUUCUCAGACAGGGAAAUCCCCCAUCUUCAUUGAUCUAGACACUCAGUAGCAAUUGGCAAACGACCCUUCAAGAGCCAAUGCUAAUGUUUGUUAGAUCCUUAGGCUUGUUCCUGCUCAUCAAUAAAAAAAAUUGAUCUGUAUUUUUGUUCUAGACAGUAAGUGUAUGUUCAGGCUCUCAGCUGUGCGGUCACUUCCCGCAUGCCCAACAUCCGCAACUAGCAAAGAGGAAGGGUCCAUUUAGUUCAUUGCCAGGCCAAAGGACUGUGUAUAUCUUAUUGCACAAAUAUAUAUGCUUAUAAGCAAGUUGGCCAAAAUGCCCUGUGCAUGUGGUGACACAACAUUGCAUCUGGAAGAGGUUUUGAGUAUAGGCUGCUGUGGAUGGAGAGUGAUGUUUAAUUUGCUCUAAGCAGAAGAGAAUAACUGAAAACUAGUCUCUAAACCUUCGAUUUUCCAGACUUUGUGUACAAAUGAUCUCUUAGCUGUUACAUCGCAAUGUCUUCUUUUUAGUGAAUAAGAACAUUGUUAAACUUGUUGCUUUAUUGUGUCACUGUUCUUCAGGGCAUUCUGGGCUCAGAAAAGGAAAAAUUUUAAGACACAAAAGAAACUGCAGCUAUUACCCAACCAUGAUACUCUUUCAAGAGUGACAUGAAUAUGAGUUUAGCUGGUGGGUUUCUAGGAGCAUCUGCUUCUCAGUGUGAGUUAAGAUUUUAUUAACAUCUUUAUGAACUGAUAUCUGAAAUUAAACUGGAAAAUCAGAUUUCCAUUUAAAAAGCUGAAGCCAAUUUGUUUGCAGGGAUAAUAGAAGUCAAAUGCUUCAUGUGAAUAAGCAUCGUAUAUAUGCACUAUCAAAUUGCUGGUAGCCUGGGCAAAGUUACCUUUUUACCGUUCACUGCAAAGAACUAUAUGGGGAAAAAUGUGAUGUGUAAAUUAUACUCCAAACUGAUUUCAGCUUGCAGAAGCAUCAUAUUUGGUCAAUUAGAUCCUGCAUUUUGGCUUUGUGCCUUUAAAGAAAUUUUUCAUUACUGAAGAUAAAUGCUUAUAAGCAGCUUUAUUUCUCUCAUGAUAACCUACUUAUUAGUUCGCAUUAAACAAAGAAAAUCCUCUGUGCCAGCAGACUGUCUUUGUGUGACUGAGCUCUUUCAUGAGACAUCAGGUGUAUGUGCUUCUUGGGCAACUUAAUUUAUCAGCACACAGCUGCGGAAAUACUCCUGCCAGAAAUAAGGUCAGUGGGCAACUGCCUCAUAGAAAAUAUGUCUGGUGACUGCACAGUCUCCGUGGAUACUGGCACACUGAGUGACCAGGGGCUGGUAACAGAAGUGGUACAGCUACACAUGAGAAAGAACAGUAGCUUUGUCAGCCUUGUGGUGGGGUCCUUCUCUUCCUGGGAAUCCGUGAGGGUGAUGAGAAGUGGAGAAGUAAGCAGGAUGUUUUUCUAUUCGUUUAUUGGAAAGUAUAAACCAUUGGGCUGUGUACUUGGCAGUUAAAGGUCAGUCUCAUUGAGGAUGACAUUAAGAAAAUAUAAAUAGAUGCUGUUUUUCUCUCCUUUAUGUCAAAACCUGUUGGUGAGACUAAAACGUGCAUAUUAAUAGUCUUUGUUGGAUGGGACUUUGUUGGAUAGUCCAUUGAAAAAUGGCCAGCAAAGUCUGACAUAGAAAAUCAAGGGAAGACUGUAACUCAACAGCUCGUUGUGACUGUUGUGACUUUUUGUUUAAAAAUGAACAAACAGACAAAAAAUAACAUUUUUUUUUAACCUGACAUUUGCUGAAUACAUACUUCAAUUUCCUUUAAGAUAAGCUUGUGACCCAUUUUCAAUUGAAACAAAAUCUAAAAGCCAGCAUGAACUGCUCUAGCAAGAGAUUAUGUUCUAGGUAACAAUGCUCUUCUUGUGCUGAGGCUGUAAGAGUGUUGCUGGAAACUGGUACUGAAAAGCAGGGAGUCUUCAGUGAUUUUAAAUGAAUUCUCUGUACUAACGCUUUCCUCUUCCGCCAGUAUGAGACAGCAGCUUGCCUACUGGUGUUUAAACUGAUUGACUCAAACAAGUAAUCCUUCUGUGAGCACUCUUUGUAUGAUAUAAACCUGAUGCAUAUCAUGGUAAAUUUUUAAGUCAAUUAAGUGCACACAGUGGAGAGUAACCACAUGAAUGUGGCUCAAGUUACUGCUUGUCAUCCAAGUCUCUUGCAAGGGAGGUAUCUCAUUGUGAAACUGUGUGGAAGAGUGAGCUCUUUUAUGUUUAGACUGAGAGGUUUGCACAGAUUUAAUUCACUUGAGGUAAACUGCUGCAACUUCUAUGUAUAGACAAGGCCUUCGUGACUGUGGAGAGGCAUGUUGGUAUUGGAGUCCUCAAUGAAGAACUUGUGUUGAUCUUCAGGGUUAAAAUUUUCCAUGCAAAUCUGUCUCCUCUCAUAGUUGCUUUUGUCUGCUGGUAACGUGAAGCUGCAGAGAAGUGGGAGGUAUGUGUCAUGGAUGUGGAGGCUCAGAUAACUGACCUACUUCAACCCCUUUCAGGAGAAGGCUGGUAUGAGAUGGAUGAAUGAGGUUUUAUGCAUAUCCACCAAUUGCUGCUGACCUCAUGUCAAGAAAGGCAUCUCCAAGACUUGCUGUAAGUCACUGUGAAGUCAGCAAAUGGCUACAGCUAUUCCUGGUCCUGCAGCAGGCUUCUUGCAGUAGCUUGGACUGUUGUUUCUAGCCGUUUCAGAGGGGUAUCCUGCAAAGAUGGUGAGAGAAACUAUAAAGAAAAAUCAUAAUUUUGCUUUUAAAGUGAGAAAAGCAGUGCAGGAGUAUCUAAGAACACAGGCACCCACUUGUUCAGUAAUCAUAGUGCCUCUUACCACUAAAGGAUUUCCUUUGCAUAAUAGCUUAAUUCUUAGAAAUGUCAUUUUAAUACAUUUACUUAUUUUUAAUGGAAGGAGGGAUGCUUUUGUAAAGCAAAACCUUGACUUCAGUGAUCAGACAGUGCUUCACAGGAGCAAACUGUUUUCAUUUAUAACAUUGCCCUCUAGUAAUAAAGGCAAAAUCACAUGCUCUGUGUACCAAUCCUGGAUAUUUCUGAAAAGCACUAUUAAAACACGGUAGUGAGAAAAGAUACAGGGUUGGAAGUUAUGUGUAGAGCAGAACUGCUUCCUGAUAUAGAAAGCUUCCUGAUAUAUAAAAUAAGCCUUUUUCCACUUGCGUUCUCUGAACAGAGGAAAAGAAGGAGGUGCUAUAAACAACUUUCAGUGAAGUGGAAUUUUGGUGAAAUAAAAACAAACCUCAUAAACUUUUUUUUUCCAGCAGCCUUCAUGCAAAUUCAAAAAGUUUUCAGCAAAAAACAGCUAUCAGAUAGUCACAACAAGGCUUACAGUUGUGAGGUUGACCACCAAGUAAGACUGCCUCUACUUCUCCUACUGCUUAUCAUCUUGUGAGAGGACCAGAGUACAGUGAAGACUUAAGAGGGCAGCCCUUCUGGCCAUUUGUAUGCAGGUGUUACUAUGCCACAUCAUGAGAUGGUUAUUCCAUUGCAUUUGUAUGCCACAUCAUGCAAUCCCUUGAGAUGAAAUUGUCAACUCCCAGCCUAGUUUUCUCCCUUUCCUCCUCGAAGAAAACUUUUCUGACAAAAAAUUGAAAGGAAAAAAGUUGUGUGUGCUUUCACAGAUAAAAUGGCUGAACAGAUAUUUUCACAAGAGCAUGGAGUCCUCAGGAAUAGCAUUGCUGCAGUUUGUUUGGAAUAGGUUUCUUUUUACUAACCUGCACCUGCUAAACUGAACAGUUCUUGCUGCUUUACAAGUUCAUUGUCAGCCCAUACAAAAUGACAAGCUUUUUUAGGCGCUGUUGCUCAGAACAUUCCCAAGAUUCUCCAGCUGGCUAUUAGUGCUCUGUCUUAAUAAGGCAGCACAAUAGCCACGAAAGACAAGGAGAUGACUUUUCUAAACAUUGGCUACACAUGGAUUCCUUUUAUGGUCCAGCUUGUGCAGUGGGGUAUUCCGCUGAAGGUCAGCAACAUGGAUAACAAAGUGCUUCCCACUGCAGCUUGCCUUUUGAGCGCAGGCAUCACGGUUCCACAUGUACGGCCUGCUCUGAGUGGGAGAGAAAGACAUAGUUGGUAGGGAAAUGUAGAAAAAGGGCAAAAAGGCUGUGGAGUGCUGUGUAUUUUGUAUGGAUGCUAUUGCUGUGUUCACCAUGGCUGCAGGAUGAAGUUGUCAAUGCCAUGUGCAGAAGAAACGUGCAUGUGCUGGGCUGGUAUUUUGUACCAAAAAAAAAAAAAAAAAAAAAAAAGAAAGCCCCCCUGAAAAAUUUCUCAGUAAGGUUUCAGAGUUCAGGUCAUCCCUCAAAAACACCAAGGGCAAAUUUUUAUGUCAUGCCCAUGAAUAUGGCUUUUCAUUCUUGCAACAAUAUGGGAUAGCAUGCUAAUGACCUUUUCAAACCAGUGAGUUAUGAUGGCUGGAGGGGUUGUCUGUGCUGCUGCAAUGCCACAAGAUGAAUUAAUUUAAGCAAAAGGGUUUUUUAUUUUUUUUUUAUUUCCCCUCCCACCUCUUUCAUUCCAUACAAGCUAGUGAGUCUUUUCCCUCCUUAGCGUGUAAUCGACUGACACUGGAAAGUUGAAUAAGAUCCUUCAGGGCUAUUGUCUUAUUACUUACAAAAAUAUUUCAGGGAAUGAGUGAGUCAUUUCAAUAUUUCUGAAGAGAAAGGAUAUAUUGGCUAUUAAUUUAAUAUGAGAAAUCCCCUACUAAGUAAUGAAAAUCUAUCUCAUCUUGUUUUGUCAGGCCUGAAUGUAUGUACAGGAUAUCCAUAAAUUGAAUGAAGAAAAUAUAUCUUUAAGGCAAAACAGAAAUGUUUAGGCAUAUUCAAUAGGUCUGUAAUCUAAUUUUUCUUCUACUGAUUAUUGUCAGGUGGGCUAAUACAAUACCUAAUAAACCAUGUCAGUGAAAGACUUUGUGUCACCAGCUCUGACACUGAGAAAGGAGAAGCACUUGAAGGUGUUUUGGUGACUCACCUCUUAGAAGUCAAACUUUUUUCGUCUGUCUUGCUGUUGCUUCACUGUCCACAACCUGAUUUCACCUAUCAUGCACAUAUUAUAUUUACAAUGAAAUCCUGAUGCAGUGACUUUGAUAUCAUCAUAGGUCUUGCAUGUUUGUGGUUAUGCUGGCUUUGAAGGAAAUGUGACUUCUCAGUUUGUUGGCUGUAUGGUUUUACUGGAUAUAGUAUCUCACUUUGAGAACAUAAUGGCAUAAAUGUGCACAAGUGGAGCAAAGAUCACAAGACAUGCAGUUUGGUUAAUGAGAGCUCCUAAACUCUUGUCAAUGUCUGCUGAUAACAGAAGAAAUCCGAAAUAGAAAUGAUUACUAAAUAAUACUUUUUAAGGCAGAAAAGAGCUAUGUUGGCCCUCAGUUAAACUCAGAGGGUGAAUUUAGUAGGCUGCGUCAUUCCUUCAUAGCUGUUCCAUAUUAUGCUGCAUUCACUAUUUUAAAACUUGCUCUCACAUGUUUCAGUCUGAAUCCUGUUUUCAGUGGUUGUGAGUUUAGCAAUUACUCUGAAUUUAAGGAAUUGGUAUAACGGAGAACAGAGAUCAUUUGUCCUGUUGUCAUUGUACUGCUAGAAGAGAAAAUAUUGGUAAGAUGUCUUGGUGACUAGGAAUGACUUUUCCGUCACCAACCUGUCUUCCUUUAUUUAUUGGUUGUUCUUUCCUCUUGGGGAAGAACUUGGGCUGUACCCUGUCAUCAGUUUUUAAGCCAAAUUCUUUAUGGAAGUCAAUAGGGAGUCCUGCGCAAAGGGAAAUGACAUAAUGUUGCCCUUUAGUCCUACCUACCGAGAAGCAGACUUGGGAAAAAUACACAUUUUCCUAAUUACUGAGCACUGAAUUUACAGCAUAUGUUCAUUUUCUAUCGACAUCCGGCAGCUACCCAACAUAUUGUAAAUUGGGCCAUUUGUAUUCAAGACAAUUGUUUUUAAUAAAAAUAUUCUGAAUGUUGUCUUUAUUUGGAUUACAUAUGGUAAAUAUUGAGGUCUUCACUGUUCUGAGGUGAAGAAUGAGCCAUUUUUAUGAGAGACAUUGACUGUUAGCUAAAAUGUCUCCUUGUCCUACUGGAGUACAUGAUGAGUUAGUAGGCUGCCACAUUUUACUCAAGCAAUAAAUGCAUUUUGCUGGAGAUAUGUCUCUGUAGUUUGCAGCGCACUUUCCAUAUGAAAGUGUGAACGUAAGCUGAUAUCAUCUGAAUUGUCAACUUUUACAGGAGAAAUGCUUCAGCUUCUGUGCCUAAUGGCCUACUUUUACAGUGACAUUAAGUCGCUCCUCUGUAGGGCAGGAUGAAUAGAGUUGCAGAAGGGUUUUGAAAUUGGGACUUUUAAAAUAAGACAAUCCAUUUGCUUGCUAAAAUUCAGACUCUUUAAGUGCUUAAGUAGAUGAAGGAAGACUGUAAGCAUAAGGGAUAAAGAUAAAACGCAGCUAGAGGGGAAUGCUUCAAAGAUAGCUUGAGGAGACUCCUUAAUUUGGGAACAGUAAAACCACUAUAACGAUUUUUACCCCUUCUCUUUAGCACUGGAUUGUGUUUGUUAUGGCAUAAGCUGUUUUCAUAUACUUCAUAACCUUAGCAGCUGAGAUCUAGGCGAUCUUUUUUUUUCAUCACCCAGGUAACAUGGCAGUGCAAUUCACUUAGCUUUGCUGAUAGCGAACUAAGAGCAAUUCACUGACACAGCCAAAAACCUAGUAAAUGGGAUGGAUGAAACCUUUAUUCUUGCCUAUUUAUCUAUUAGAUUUUUCUCCAACCUACAGCUGCAGAAUUUUGAGAAUUUGGAGAAUCACUCAAGCCAGAAUUUUCAGCAUCAGCAUUUCGGUAUUGGUCAUUAUUAGAAGUAGUCAUGAAAUAUCAUCUUUCACACUAGGCUGCAAUAAUCCACCUCUGUAAGUUUUAUGGUCUUUAGAUUGCAGGAUGGCCUGCAUCUGUUGAUUACAUUUAAGUAAAACUUCAUGCUCAUUUUGUGGCAUGGAAAAUUAGAUGCAGACCCUUUGUUUAUCUCUGCCGCUCACAGCCUGUUGACUUCUGGAUGGUGAUAUGGAGAUGUUACGGUGAAUGUGGUGAUAAUUUCCUGGGCUGAAAGUCUGAUAAUGCUAGACUUGUUAGAUGUUGGGUGCCGGGCACUGAGAUGGCAUGAGCUGUUUUGCACAGUGUGUAGUCUGUUUGUGGGACUGGCCUGCUCUUAAUCUGCUGAAUACUUACAGAGGCUGGGGAUGAGCAACAGCACCUCCUUGUAGCCCUUUUCCUCUGGAUUUUAUGAGUUUUCACGUGAUAUGGCUUUUGUUUAAGGCAGUCGGAAGUGUCUUUCAAGUGCCUCCAAGCUUUAGAGGCACAUCUUGAAAGGCCAGUUGAUAGGGUACUUUAAUGCAUUACUGAUUUGUCUGUGUGAGAGAACGAUGUGGAAGACAUCUGGAGACUUGUUCUGGCCAAGACUAACAAACACGAUGCUGAUUUUUUUGGGAAAGUAAUCAGAAUAUAGGGCAGAAAUCAUACCAGACCCUUUGACUGAAAAUACUUUUGUGCCAUUUGUGAACUGGAUUCACCAUCUGGGUUAGCAGCUAUGGUCAUAUCAGAUUAUUAUUUUUUCCCUGUUUUUGUCUCACUCUUUUUUUUUUUUUUUCUUAAACCAGAACCAUGUCCCCGUUUCUUGUAAAUGUGCCUUUGUCAUCACGGGUUUAAGCUGUCAUAAUACAUUUUUCCUCGAGCUCCAUCUUUAAUCACUUAGUGGCAGACCUGGGAAUAGAAGCCAUGCCUUUGCCACAGGACCAUCAGCUCAGUAAGGCAGAGAACAGCUGUGAGCUUUCCUACAGAGCAGCCUGGUCUGCACUUUGCAUGUAAGCUGUGUUUCCAGCAUCUCAUAAAGUAGGACAAAUACAGCUUCACCUUUUAAUAUACAGAAGUGUGUCUCAGAAGACACAGAACUGCUUGCAGCCUUUAUGCAGAGAAAGGGAACGUGGCAGUUGAGCUUGUAUAUUUAGUGAACAUUGUGAACAAAUAAUAAAUUAAGACUUACUUAUAGGAAAAAAAUAAGUCACUUAUGUAACUCAACUCCCUUUGCUAGACUUCCUCCUCCCUAGCCACGCUCCCCAUUAUUUAUCAAUUAAAUAUGCUAGGAGUAUUGAGCUGCUGACCACAGAAUUGGGGAGGGGGUGGAAUAAUGGUUAUUAUACUGUUCUAAAAGCCAUAAUACCGAAUACCAGAAAGAAUGAGAGUCAGAUGUAGAUGAUGCUGUUGAGUUGCCACUGGUAGAACAGAAUGUACUGUACUAUCCAGCAAUGGUUGCUGCUUUGUCUAAAACCAUAUACUAUGAGUGAACUGUCAUGUCAGUCUGUAGCAUUUGUGUGGUUUAUAGGCUUCUCAUUACGUUGCUAAACUGUGUGCAAUAGAUUAAAGUGCCAUUAAAAUUCCAUGUCUCAAAACAUUUUAUUCUGCUGUGCUAACUUCCCUCUGCUUCCAUGGAAAGUUACGUGUAUGUGAAGACUCUUAGCAUUCAGGAAAAGGUUUCUGUUUGUUAUUCCUUCUAUGGAUAAAAUUCUCAUUGAUUUCAUCUUAAAAAAAAAAAAAAAAGAAGAAGAAAGAAAGGAUGGAAGUGCGUUGUUUUUUAAUCAAGCCAUGUAAUAGUAGGAGAUUUUGGUGUCUGAGAGAUAGAAAAGAGUACUGAAAACUGGAAAAGCUAUCUCAAACCCUUUUUUACAAAUGAAAAUGGGGGAGGAGGGAUAGUUGUCCAUUUCCUGCAAGGUAACAAUGAACAACUCCAGUUUUCUUCAGGUGGAGAAAACUCUCUGAAGUGGUAAAUUGUUCCAUUAAGAAAUAUGGGUAGAACAUGUCCUGAAAGAGAGCAAAAUGCUCUGUUCCUGGAGGAGAGGAUAGGGAUGAUGUUAUCACUGUGAAAUAUGUGCUGCUGCAACAUGAAUCACUUCAGUGCUUGGGUUCUCUCUGUGUUAAUCAAAUCAUCCUUAGCAACCCCUCUUUUUUUUGCUAUUCUUAACUUUAGGUCAGUGGUGUUUCAUUACUAACUAUCUGGAGUCACAAAUUAGAAACCAGCACCAGAAAUUUGAACUGAAUCUGAACUUAAAAUUAGUUUAAGCUGUUAUUCUUUUCUUGAAAUGAAACUCAGUCCAAAUCAUUAAUUUAAAAUGUCUCUUUUUAAUUCAAAUCUUAACUUGAAUUGAAGGAACCAGACCCAAGCCAAACCGAAGCUGAGCUUAAAAAUAUACAUUACUUGAACUUCAUGAUCAGCACUAUACCCCAAAUUCCUUUAUGCAUAGACAGUGAAGAGAAGGCCUCUUGUCUGAAAUUCUUGGAGAGGGAGUAUGGCUGAUGGAGAAGCGCUGAACAUUCAGUAAGAGUGAGGCAAUUACAAGUAACAGUUCAGUUAAUUAGCUAUGGAGUCAUUAGCAUAUGUGAUCCAGGCACAUUAAAAGAUGGAUUUCAUAGGGAGAUCUAAGGAAGGAGAAAAUAAGAUGUCUGACGCCUACCCUUGCACCCCAAGAUACAACUGCCAGCCUAAGACUGGAGGUAGAAAUCAAAGAUGUAAUUCCUAGCAGAGUGUACAGUGGGCUGUUGGUCACCCUGUUAGAUACGUACACUUUACCAUGUAUAGUUGGUGAGGACACUGGCCUUUUCCUCCAUUCAUAUCACAGGUCUACUCUGCCCUAGAAAGAGCUUGGCAGUACCUACUCUCUGAUACCAUGAAGUAUCUCUGCAAAAUCUUCCAUGGAUUUCAACAGUAUAUUUCCAAAUUAAUCGCCUUCUAAAAAGUGUUUAGACUAGUUCAAAUCUGAAGGCAAACAAGACAGUAGAGAUGUAUAUUGGUGACUACUGGAAGUGAUUAGUCCUUCUUUCUUUCAAGUGCUGCAUGUCAGCCCUAUCUGCUUUCCUCCUCUCUGUUCCCAUUCUAUUCUGAAUGUUAGAUGCCUCAAAACUGAGGUUGAAGCUCUCCACGUGUGCCAGCAGUUGCUUACUUACUGCACAGAUAUCUUCCACUUUCUGAAGAUGUAUGGUGCUUUGUGUUCCAUCUUCUUUUAAAUUUAAACAGGUUCCCCACAUUUCCCAGUCAUUCCAAAAGGCCAGAACUAGUGGGAAAAAAAAACCAACAAAAACAAAACCCAACAUCAAAAUGUCAAAGAACAGGAAACUGAAUCAAUUUUUAAAGAUUUUCCUGUCUGAUGGGUUCCCAGCAAACCCUGCCCAUGCCACUCUGCUCUGGGUGGUUUCCCAGCAGUAUGGGAUUAUAUUCAUGGCACAUGGCUUGACAGAGGGUCCCAGCAUGGUCUCCUCCCGGCUCGUCCCAGGCACUCUCUGCACAGAGGUGCCGAGUAACUUGCCUGCUCUUUAUUUCAGCUCAGCUUUGCAGGAACUCCGACACUGGCCCUUGUGACAAUGGGUCUUUGGCUUGUGAUAAAUACCUUCCCCCCCCCUUUAGUAUUUAAUGGUCAGUUGUCAGCAUCCAGGAAAACUGUGUUUAGACGGCAUUGGAAACAGGUACCAAUAUGGUUAGCUGACGCAAGAGUGGUUUAUUUUCCAUUUUAAUAGUUCUUUAAACAGGUCAUGCAUUGGUAUACAGCUCCUUUGUUGGAAUAAAAAUCUUUGUCAUAGGCUGCAAGACAGCUAAAAAUAGCUGUGGUGAGUAUUUAUGCUGAGGAUAAUCUCAAGAGAAGGUAUUUUUAACUUUGCAUGCUGUUUAGAAUAGGAAAUUCUUUUAAUGCCCACAUUUUCCAUUCCUAUUGCCAUUAGCUUUUCCCCACCCCUCUUAUGAUGUGGGCCUUGCACUUUCUUUCUCCCUUUCAUUUCUUUUAAAGUUCAAGGUUAGAGCCAAUCUGCUCCAGAGGCAGACUUGAGUUUAUUAUUAUUUAAAGAAAAUGCUAACUUUGGCCUUUUGCGACUGUAUGGGAAUUCAGUUCAUUUCAUGGGGCUAUCAGAAUGUAAACAAGAUAUCUCACUAAGCUGUCACUGCAAAUUGGGUAAUGAAUGAACACUUUAUUUCUCUAGCACAUGGAACUAAUGCGCUUGUUAGAAUAACAGUGGCCAAUCUAUUUUAUACUCCCAUGGAAAGUAUUCCACUUUUUUUUGGCAAGUUUGUGUGAGCCGCUACUUGUACCAAUACUCAAGCUAAUGCUGAGGGAGAGAGAAAAAAAUAGUAGUGUCAGGCUGAACUGUACUUAUAACUUUAAAAUAUGGCUCCCAGCAAAGCCCAGUCCUACAUGACUCAAUAAAUAACUGUGACCUACCUAAUAGUCAAAUGUUGUGUUGAGAGAAAGUGCUGUGUAGACUGUGGGCCAAAUUCAAUGCAGGUAUAGGUUGACACACUUAAUGUGUAGCCUUUGAGAGGAGCUCAUAGCUGACCUGUGAGCAGUUGUACAGCCAAGUUAGACAAUUUUUUUUUCCUUAAAAAGAAAAUAUAGAUAUUGUUUUUAAUCUUAAAAGAGACUAGAGCCGCACAGUUAAUGGAACUCAGGUAGCUUUGCAAGUGAAGCCUAAGGUGAUCAGUAUGAAUUUUCAGCUAAUUACACAUUUCAUGCCUGUAAGUCAGAUGAGACGUGUCCUGUCCAGACAGGCAGAUUUUUAAAGGUAUUUCAAUAAACAGAGAAAGGGAGAGGCACCUUGUGACAUUCUCUGAAACCUCUGUCGAUCUCUACAGGGGCUUUGCAGAAGCAGAUCUGCACACACUCCUGACAGUGUCACACAUGCUCCCUUCUACUGCUGUCAGCUGCAGAGCAUCCUUUUGGCCUCUAGUGAUUUUGAAGGUGAAAAAUACAUGUUUCAAGGCUCUCCUCCACUGUGAUGAGGUGAUGAGGAUAGGUAGGAUCUGUGGCCUAUGAGCCACCUACCCUGUUUGACAAACAGCGCUGUUGACUUUGUGGAAACUGUGUUGACAGCUCAUCUUACUGUCAGGUUUGGAUACUAUGUAUUUGUUGCAUCAAUAUGUAGGUAGAUGUGUGCACAUGACUUGCAGUUCUGGAACUCUGACAUCCCUGACAAAAGGGAUGGCAGCCGCACAGCCUGCCUGCAGUGCUGACAAUGAGAGAGAGAAGAAUCUUGGAGGAUGGAAGAGCUUUUUUAGUGCAGACUGCACCUUGGCUUGAAAGGCUUGCCAAGUGAGCAGUGUGACGUUCACAAAGAUCAGGGUCUAAUUUCCCAUGUGUAAAGCUGUUUCCCAGAAGAUAAGAGGUUAUUAAAUAGUACUGCUAAAUAGAAAAUGUAACCUUCAAAACAGUUGUAAGCAUUAGGGAAACAUGCUGUCUACUUCCUGGCUGGAGAGAAGUUGGGUGCUCAGAUAGGCCUCGCUGGAGAAACUGUGGUAAACAUCAAGUUGCCAGGCCAAAGGACUGAGGUCUCCUGCCCAGAGGCAGCUGAUGACCUAAUACAGGCAGGUUUCUGUAGUCCUGGGAGGUCUUUGCUGAAAGCCAUCAACAAUCCACGUGGGGAGGAGCCUAGGGAGUAGAACUGAUGAGCAUGCUGUAAGCUCAGCUACCCUGGGGGGCUCUUGCCCUGGGUGAACAAAACCUGUGGGGAGCAGCAAUCAGUGGGAUGCAGGACUCAGCUAGGAUCAGCACUGGCCAUGAUAUUCCAGCAGCGAGGCCAGAAACUGUCAGAAUCAGCAAGGAGAAAGCUGGUGGAUUGCAGCCACGCUGAGUACUCUCAAGAAAAAGGCACAGGGAGCGUGAUGAAAUUUUUCUGCAUGUGCCAUAGUCUUGACAUAGAGGCAGCUUUGCUGAAUUAGCUCUUAUGGUUGCCAGGUGUAAUGUGUCCACUAAAAUCUGGCUGGAGACCACCAAGUUCCUCACAUUCUCACUUUAUGGGAUUUAGUCAAAUUAUUUCUUUUGCAGUUACCUUGCCUUUCUUAUCUGAUGAAACUGUGGCUACAUUAAAUUUUAGAAUUUUGCUCCUUUCUCUGUUGUCUAGAAUGUGACAAGAUCAAAUUUCCCCCUUACUACCCAUUAGUAGCUUAAUUUUUUUUUUUUUACAUGAAGUUUUUUCAACAAUAAAAUCCCUCCAAGGCUGCAGUUACAUAAUAUUCAAGGUCACAGUAAUCAUAACAGAAUCCAUCUCACUUAGUAGUAGUGCACUCAUGGAAAUGAAAAUGCCCCAGCAGGGCUUUUUUUUUUUUUGCAGGAUUUUGCUGCUGCACACAUAAUUUGUAAGACUCGAUCCAUGAAUGACGAGGCUAUUUUUAGGCCCACUGCAUUGAGCUGUUUGUAUCUUCAAUUUUUUUUUUUUCCUUGCAAGAUGGAAGCAAAAGGCAUGCAGUUUUAAGGUGAGAGACAAUACUGUAAUGGCAAAAUUUCUUUAAUAUUACUGUUUUGCGUACAUUCUUAUGGACUUCUAAACCAAAGUAGCGUGGGAUUAAGAAGUAGCAUAUCUACAAGUGUAUAGAGCAUACGGUCUUCUGAUAUGUUCUGUGCUUUCAUUUCAUGUGCUCCCUCUAUUUCUUCCCCAUGGUCUCAGCAGCCCAGUCCUACAUCUAUAGUUUUCAGCCUUUAUACCAGGAGUUAUGUUGAAAGAAAAGCUUUAAUGUGACUUGACUGACAGGGGAGGAACGGUAAAUCUUAUGAAAGUCAUCAAACAGACUAACUCGCUAGCUGUAAAAUGUGUCAUUUUGUUCAUAUUUUUCUAUAUCUGGUAGUCUUUCUUCUCUAUCCAGAGAGCCUGGAAGUGUGUUUUGUCUUUAAAAGUAGCAAUGUUGUGACUAUUUACAGAGAAUGCCAGGACAACAAAUUUAAUGCAGUUUCAGUCAAAGACAAACCUGUUGCUAAAGGGACCUUCUCUUCAGGUGAGACAUGGUUCUCUGGACAAGACAACACAAUUCAGUCUUCAGUAUUGAAAAAUACAUUUCAAACAGAGCCAUAUCCACUCAUCUGCUGCAUAUGGGCUACCCUCCAUGAACUGAAUGCAGGAUGUGAUUGAAUGGGGACACUGUCACCAGCGAAGCUGCAUAAAGAUUAAAUUUGGCUUGAUCUUUCUCAGGGACACUGUUGUAUAGCUCUUCACUAAAGGAGAUUUGAGCAGACACAUAGAAGAUCACAAAAUAUAGCCACUGCAUUAUCAAACCUUCUGUUUAGAGUUUUUAGGAGCAAUUAGGGCAAGUAAUGGUUGAUUUAACACAUGGGUAAGAAUUUGUGUUACAGAUAUUCUCCUGUGCCCAGUCUGUAGGGUGAAAGAGAAGUAUUUUAAUGGUCAGUGUGGUCUCUUUAGGAUGAUCUGUAAUAGCUUGAGGAGCUAUCUCUGCCAUCCUUUCCAUUCCAUGCACAUACGGUGCAUAUUGGCACAUAUUGGCAUUGAUCCCUUCGUUACAGUCUAGAAUUCUGCUAGAAGUCUUCCACUGCUGCUCCUGAUCCAAACUGAACCUUCUACUCUUGUAAAAAUACCAGCAAUUUAAUAGCAGUAGACAUGUGCAUCUUUGGAUUGCAAUGUGUGUUGUGAAAUGACAAUAUAAUCACCACAGUUUCCUUAGUUAAGGAUGACUUCAAAAUUUCUGUGGCAGCUUCCAGCUAACCUAUGCGGGCUAUAGCACUUGAAUGGCUGUCCACAGGAUUUAAGCAGGGUUUUGAAGAGCUUUACUAUGAUGGAGGCUGAGUAGGUUUGUAAUGUCCCCUUGUAUUUCUGCAGGAAAUCUGCAGAAGAUUAGAGUUAAAUCUUAGCUUGUUCAGCCUGUUUUGAUCAAACUUGUCACAGUUUUAAUUCCACUAAUGCAAGUAUAGGGGUCAUACAUCCUAUGAGGAAAGGUUGAGGCAACUGGGCUUGUUUAGCUUGGAAAAGAGAAGGCUCUGAGGAUACGUCAUUGUGGCCUUACAAUAUUUGAGAGGAGCAUACAAAAAGGAGGGGGAAUAACUGUUUACAGGGGUAGACAGUGAUAGGACAAGGGGGAAUGGGGACGUUUAGGCUAGAUAUUAGGAGAAGUUUUUCACAGAGGGUGGUGUCAUGCUGGAACAGGUUGCCCAAGGAGGUUGUGGAUGCCCCACCCCUGGAGACAUUCGAGGCCAGGCUGGAUGUAGCUCUGGGCAGCCUGGUCUAGUGGUUGGCGACCCUGCACAUAGCACUGGGGUUGAAAGUAGAUGAUCUUUGAGGUCCUUUUCAACCCAGGCCAUCCUAUGAUUCUAUAUGCUUUCUAGCACUGCAUGGGUAUGCCAGGACGAGUGUGACGAGUCUUCUCUAUAGUACAGCAAGGUGAUUGCAUGCUGUGAGAUGGAUGGAAGCUGAUAGAGUAGAAACACUGUCAAAACUUUAUAGACUGUUCUGUGUCGAUGACAGCUGUGCCAUCUGAGUGCGCAGGUGAGAAACUGCAAAUUUCUCAAAAUUCUGUGUUAAAUUCUGAAAAUAUUAUCUUGAUGACAACAUUUUUUUGUUUGUUUCAAAUGUUCAGUGUAAUCUGAUGGUAAUUUAGAAAUGAUUUUUAAAAUGUUUUACAUCAGAGAAAAUGCUUGUCUUUAUUCUCCCUUUGAAACUUUUGGAUAGCUCAUGACUUUAAAAUUCAAUGCAGAAUCUUAUAGAUACAGACGAAGGUAAGGCACAGUAGAGUUAACAGACUAAAGACUAUACCAAUAAUGGUUAAUUUUGAAGGAAGCAUUAAUUUCCUUUUCCUGUUUUUCAAGAUUUUUUAUGUGGAGAAGAAAUGCUUCUGCUGCAUAAACAUUUUUAAAAUAAUGACUUUAAAGGGCACGACUGAGAGCCCGAAUCCAAAUGUUUCGCUAAGUACUUUGUUUAACUCUUGCUUCCUUUUUUUCUUUUCUUUUCCUUUUUUUUUUCCUUCUCUUUUUUUUCUCCCGUGCUACAAUAUGAUUGGAAUCCAAAUCAGUAUAGGGCAGAUGCUGGCAAAAAACAAGGAUAAAAUAAUAUCUGCCUGUCCAUCACAAACUGUUCUGUUUGUCUGGCUAGUAUUUUAGCCAAAAAAAGAACCAAAAUGACAAGGGGGAAGGCGUAGUGGUCUCUGCUCUGCUUUGUGUACUGUCAACAGCGCUGUGGUUGUUAUGGAUGAUUUUCUCCUUUCUGGUGCAGAUACAAGAAAGAGAAUGAACACAGCCAUCACUUUGAGCUGACAGGUUUGAGUGCCCUUCUCAGAAUAUUUCUUCUGGGUACAUUUAUCAUCCAGCUUCAGGGGAAACAAUGCGUAUGGGGGUAUGUGGGUGGGAUGGGAGGGUACCCUAACAUUUUAUCGUUGUAAAUUUCUUCAUCUAGUAAAUAGUCCAAAUAAAUACUGUGUGUUGUGAGAUGAUUAGUUGUUGUUGCUUUACCUGCACUAGGUAUGUUCUUCUUGAAGGAGGCUGCUGUCAGUUACAGAAGUGCACAUGUAGGAGGAGGGCAUGACAUCUUACUGGCAGCCUACUGUCACUUUGUGGAAAAGUGGAUUAGAAAUGCAGUCACCCAACUUACAAUUUUGGAGAAGAGGCACACCAUAUAACAGGGGAUAGAUGGCAAUAUGCUUAGAUUUACUCAGGCAACCUCUUAUUCCAACCUAUAUUUGUAAGUAAGCUGUUCGCAGGUGAAGAAAAAUAAAACAGAGAGUUUUAAAUACAACUGAAUGUUUAGCCUAAUUUUAAAUAAUGAGGCUGAAUUUACUGAAAAUAAUUUUCUGAAUUCAUAUGACGUCUCAGUCUCUUAUGAGAAAGCCAAUGGAGUGGUUCUUAGCAUAUGGUACCAAAGAUAUGUCUGAUUACACUUAUUGUUUAGAUCUUGGUCCUGUUUGUUUCAAUCCUGCUUCAGCUUUACCACAGCAGAGGACCCUCAGGUAAUGCUUACGCCACCUGUUCAAUGCAGGAAAUUGCCUGUAGGGUUCUCUGCUUGACUUUGACCAAAUGCAGCCAAAAUCUAUGUGUUUAGAUGGAUUCAAAAGAUGGGACCAAAUAAUGGCUUUUCUCAUGCAGAGUUCCUAGUUGCCUUACAUGGAGAUUAAAUGCUGCUGAUUUAAGGUAACUUCUGUGAAAAGACUGCCCUACAGGACACUGCAAUAGAAAGACAAUGUAUAGAGAAAAGGUCUGUGGCAAUGAAUUUCCGUUAUCAUGAUUCUUCCCAGUCCAUCACGCUGCUUACAUCUUGAUUAACCAGGUCACAAAGGACUUUAAUGCACAGGCUCAAGAUAGCAGAAUUAAGGAUGCUCUGGGAAUCUGAUUUUGUCUUGUUGAAGCUGUAUUCUUACCAUAACGUGCUUUUCUCCUUCACUCUAUGCUUGAUAUUUGUAGACAGACCUGCAGAAUAGCAUAUUGCAGAUUGACACAGAAUAAUAUGGAUCCAGUGUACAUGGGAUAGUAUUAUAAGCAUGAAUCAUGUACACGUGUGGGCAAAGAGUUUGUUAUGUCUCUAGCCAGCCGCACUAUAGAAUUGUUUCUGAUCUGCCUUACAGUUCC
RNAcentral lists this long non-coding RNA (25626 nucleotides) under Gallus gallus (chicken). Lineage: Eukaryota; Metazoa; Chordata; Aves; Galliformes; Phasianidae. The record is from RNAcentral.